GCCACGUCUUUGGAGCGCACCCACUCCUGCCCCCCCUCCAUCUGCCACCACUCACCUCAGUUCUCACCCUGGUCCCCGCUGCGUGCGGCAAACCCCCGCGCAUGCGGAGCUGGAGAUGCUUGUGAUGGAUGGCGCACAGGAGCCAAAGCACAAUCUAUAAACUUACCAGUGCGAUUAAUUUACUUAGCAAUGGCAGAUCCCUGAUAUUCUACAGUGCCUACAUGUCAGCCCACCUCCCAGCUGAAACCUCAGUGCGACAGUCACAUGCUUCUGAAGGCAGAUUCCUGUCAGUCAGCCAACUUUCUUCAUCCUCAGAGGUGCUGCCAGACCUAUGGCCUUCAACACUGCCUUAUUCCUCACCAGGUGCAAAGAAUUAAACAACUGAUGUGAGACUUCUGGGAAAGAUGGUGGAUUAGAAGCCUCACCAGGAACUCGGUAAAAGAUACCAGUGACGAGAAUACAAAAUAAACUGUUAUUCUGCAAGAAACAAGG
Peromyscus maniculatus bairdii (prairie deer mouse) is the source of this 492-nucleotide non-coding RNA. Lineage: Eukaryota; Metazoa; Chordata; Mammalia; Rodentia; Cricetidae. The record is from RefSeq and is a predicted model, not a curated record.